GCUAGCGUAGCUUAGAUCAAAGCAUGACACUGAAGCUGUUAAGAUGGGCCCUAGAAAGCCCCGCCAGGC
RNAcentral lists this transfer RNA (69 nucleotides) under Lutjanus erythropterus (crimson snapper). RNAcentral's name for it is "tRNA-Phe". Lineage: Eukaryota; Metazoa; Chordata; Actinopteri; Lutjaniformes; Lutjanidae. The record is from RNAcentral.